GAGCGGAGGCUCCACCUCGGCAAAUGUGCUGGCUCAGGCGGCCCAACCAGUGGGGUAAUGAUCUUACUGCUGGCGCUGCAUUGCUCUUUCUGCUGCGGCGACUCAUCGCAUAGCUGCUGUUGCUGCUGCUCCUUCUUCGGUUUCUGCUUUCGCUCGAUCGCAGCCUGCUGCUGGGCAGCCUGAAGCCUCUUGGCGGCACGUAGAGUACAAGCGCGGGACGGUCGAUUGCUCCUGUUGGUAGGAGGCGCCGAAGCCGGAGACGGAGACGGCACCAGUGGUGGAGUUCCCUCGUCAUGAGGGGCGGAGGAGUGGUUUAAAGCAGUGGCGGAGUGAGGGGCGUCGUUUAGGAGGAUCGGAGAAGAGGAAAGUUGUUCGCGGGACAUGGUUGGAGAGAUCGAGAGGGUUUAGGGAAGCUAAUGUGGGAUUACAUGUAGAGGAUCAAGGGUUUGCAUUGGAGAGAGGAAUCAAAGGAAAGAAAUAAUUUUUGGAGUGAGAAAGAGAAAGGAGAAGAAGAUUGAGGACCAAAAGUCCAACCCAUCAUUUUUCUUCACAUAUACAUAAUAUUUGCAUAUAUGUUCCGUUGUGUUUGGCUGAGUUAGGAGACCAGGAGGUGAAAUUGAAGGGAAAGGAAGGGAAAAGAAAGAUAGGCAAGGGAAGGGAGAGAAGCUAGACAAUGCCUGGGAUUUUGUGUAGGACUUGGAUUUUUAUUACUUUUUAACCGCUUGAAUUUACUAAUUUCUUCUCUCUUUUAUUUAGAAUUUCAACCUGUUGUUCUCAGAAUUUG
RNAcentral lists this unclassified non-coding RNA (784 nucleotides) under Hevea brasiliensis (rubber tree). The record is from RNAcentral. Lineage: Eukaryota; Viridiplantae; Streptophyta; Magnoliopsida; Malpighiales; Euphorbiaceae.